UACGGAAGGGGCAAGCGUUGUUCGGAAUCAUUGGGCGUAAAGGGCGCGUAGGUGGUCGUGUAUGUCUACCGUGAAAGCGUACGGCUCAACCGUAUUUAGUCGGUAGAAACUGCAGGACUUGAGGCUGGGAGGGGCUGGUGGAAUUCCCUGUGUAGCGGUGAAAUGCGUAGAUAUCUGGAGGAACACCGGUGGCGAAGGCGGCAUCCUGGACCGACACUGACGCUGAGGCGCGAAAGCUAGGGGAGCAAACGGG
This 253-nucleotide ribosomal RNA is filed under the name uncultured bacterium. RNAcentral's name for it is "partial 16S ribosomal RNA". It matches the Rfam family "Bacterial small subunit ribosomal RNA", at positions 524 to 776 of the family's 1533-position model. The record is from RNAcentral.